UGGGUCUACGCAGUGAAGUACAAGGUAGGAAGCCACAAAAACCAAUCUGCAGCUAAUUGAAUCAGAAAUCUAUGAAAGGUACAGUGCAGACUGAAGAAGAUGACUGAGAGGCUUCAUAAUGAGGAACAGCACCCAAAAUCACGCUGCGGAACAGCUCUCAGAGAACAGCACUGCAGUGACAGAGACGGCACCACUGCAGCACCAGCGCCGGUGCAGGACUGGAUGCUCAUGCACAUCUCAGGCCUCCAGAUGCCCGCGACCUUCUCCCCUUCAGCCUCUUCCAUAACCACACUACUCCUUUCCUCCAUCGGCUUCUCCCCUGACUGCACAGAAGCCCAUUUCCCCACCAUGACGAAAAAAAACCUUUCCCAGAUCUAAGGCAAAGGGAAAAACAUACAAGACAGAAUGUAAAUUUGUGCUGCCAGGGGCUGGGAAAGGAGGGGAUGGGGAGUGACUGAUGAAUGGGUAUGGGCUCUCCUUCCGGAGUGAUCAAAAAGUGUUCUGGAACUAGAGUGGUAAAGAAGGUACGACCUCGUAAAUGUACUAAAUGUCAGUAAUGAUAAAUUGUAUGUUACAUGUUACCACCAAAACAACAAAAACAUCUCUGGCCUCCCUCAGAUUCCACGAUAUUACUCAGUACUUUUGUUCUCUCUCCUCUCCCCUCCCUCCCUAGCUUCCUUCUCUUCCAAGCCUGAAAUGCAAACAUUUUCCUCCUCC
RNAcentral lists this long non-coding RNA (717 nucleotides) under Homo sapiens (human). RNAcentral describes it as "non-protein coding lnc-WRNIP1-38:2". The record is from RNAcentral. Lineage: Eukaryota; Metazoa; Chordata; Mammalia; Primates; Hominidae.